GGUAAUAUAGUUCAGUUGGUAGAACAGCAGAUUCAUAAUCUGUACCGCGCUGGUUCAAAUCCAGCUAUUACCA
This 73-nucleotide transfer RNA is filed under the name Ralstonia phage RSP15. It matches the Rfam family "tRNA". Rfam says of the family: Transfer RNA (tRNA) molecules are approximately 80 nucleotides in length. Their secondary structure includes four short double-helical elements and three loops (D, anti-codon, and T loops). The record is from Rfam by way of RNAcentral. Lineage: Duplodnaviria; Heunggongvirae; Uroviricota; Caudoviricetes; Pantevenvirales; Ackermannviridae.